AUACGGAGGGUCCAAGCGUUAUCCGGAAUCAUUGGGUUUAAAGGGUCCGCAGGCGGUCAAUUAAGUCAGAGGUGAAAGCCCAUCGCUCAACGAUGGAACUGCCUUUGAUACUGGUUGACUUGAGUUAUACGGAAGUAGAUAGAAUAAGUAGUGUAGCGGUGAAAUGCAUAGAUGUUACUUAGUAUACCGAUUGCGAAGGCAGUCUACUACGUAUAUACUGACGCUGAGGGACGAAAGCGUGGGGAGCGAACAUGAUUAGAAACCCCAGUAGUCC
RNAcentral lists this ribosomal RNA (274 nucleotides) under uncultured bacterium. RNAcentral describes it as "partial 16S ribosomal RNA". It matches the Rfam family "Bacterial small subunit ribosomal RNA", at positions 523 to 796 of the family's 1533-position model. The record is from RNAcentral.